CUCCUCUCGGAGGAUUUGAACCUUCGACCUUUUGGUUAACAGCCAAACGCUCUAACCACUGAGCUAGAGAGGA
Molecule: transfer RNA, 73 nt
Filed under: Coelastrum sp. F187
Lineage: Eukaryota; Viridiplantae; Chlorophyta; Chlorophyceae; Sphaeropleales; Scenedesmaceae
Description: tRNA-Asn
Source: RNAcentral